Molecule: ribosomal RNA, 584 nt
Filed under: uncultured bacterium
Lineage: Bacteria
Description: partial 16S ribosomal RNA
Rfam family: Bacterial small subunit ribosomal RNA
Source: RNAcentral
UGGGGAAUUUUGGACAAUGGGCGAAAGCCUGAUCCAGCAAUGCCGCGUGUGUGAAGAAGGCCUUCGGGUUGUAAAGCACUUUUGUCCGGAAAGAAAUCCUUGGCUCUAAUACAGUCGGGGGAUGACGGUACCGGAAGAAUAAGCACCGGCUAACUACGUGCCAGCAGCCGCGGUAAUACGUAGGGUGCAAGCGUUAAUCGGAAUUACUGGGCGUAAAGCGUGCGCAGGCGGUUUGCUAAGACCGAUGUGAAAUCCCCGGGCUCAACCUGGGAACUGCAUUGGUGACUGGCAGGCUAGAGUAUGGCAGAGGGGGGUAGAAUUCCACGUGUAGCAGUGAAAUGCGUAGAGAUGUGGAGGAAUACCGAUGGCGAAGGCAGCCCCCUGGGCAAUACUGACGCUCAUGCACGAAAGCGUGGGGAGCAAACAGGAUUAGAUACCCUGGUAGUCCACGCCCUAAACGAUGUCAACUAGUUGUCGGGUCUUCAUUGACUUGGUAACGUAGCUAACGCGUGAAGUUGACCGCCUGGGGAGUACGGUCGCAAGAUUAAAACUCAAAUGAAUUGACGGGGUCAUAGCUGUUUCCU